RNAcentral lists this ribosomal RNA (499 nucleotides) under uncultured bacterium. RNAcentral's name for it is "bacterial SSU rRNA". It matches the Rfam family "Bacterial small subunit ribosomal RNA", at positions 791 to 1294 of the family's 1533-position model. The record is from RNAcentral.
UAGUCCACGCCGUAAACGAUGAUCACUAGCUGUAUGCGAUACAUUGUAUGCGGCUGCGCGAAAGCAUUAAGUGAUCCACCUGGGGAGUACGUUGGCAACAAUGAAACUCAAAGGAAUUGACGGGGGCCCGCACAAGCGGUGGAACAUGUGGUUUAAUUCGAUGAUACGCGAGGAACCUUACCUGGGCUUAAAUGUAGAGUGCAUUAAGUGGAAACAUUUAUUUCCUUCGGGACUCUUUACAAGGUGCUGCAUGGUUGUCGUCAGCUCGUGCCGUGAGGUGUCGGGUUAAGUCCCAUAACGAGCGCAACCCCUAUCGUUAGUUGCCAGCGGAUAAUGCCGGGGACUCUAGCGAGACUGCCACCGUAAGGUGAGAGGAAGGUGGGGAUGACGUCAAAUCAGCACGGCCCUUACGUCCAGGGCUACACACGUGUUACAAUGGCCAGUACAAAGGGCAGCUACCUGGUGACAGGAUGCUAAUCUCGAAAUCUGGUCUCAGUUC